Molecule: ribosomal RNA, 253 nt
Filed under: uncultured bacterium
Lineage: Bacteria
Description: partial 16S ribosomal RNA
Rfam family: Bacterial small subunit ribosomal RNA
Source: RNAcentral
CGUAGGGUGCAAGCGUUGUCCGGAAUUAUUGGGCGUAAAGAGCUCGUAGGUGGUUCGUCGCGUCUGCUGUGAAAGUCCGAGGCUUAACCUCGGAUCUGCAGUGGGUACGGGCGGACUAGAGUGCGGUAGAGGAGAUCGGAAUUCCUGGUGUAGCGGUGGAAUGCGCAGAUAUCAGGAGGAACACCGGUGGCGAAGGCGGAUCUCUGGGCCGUAACUGACGCUGAGGAGCGAAAGCAUGGGAGCGAACAGGCUU